Molecule: signal recognition particle RNA, 96 nt
Filed under: Gemmatimonadaceae bacterium
Lineage: Bacteria; Pseudomonadati; Gemmatimonadota; Gemmatimonadia; Gemmatimonadales; Gemmatimonadaceae
Description: signal recognition particle sRNA small type
Rfam family: Bacterial small signal recognition particle RNA
About the family: The signal recognition particle (SRP) is a universally conserved ribonucleoprotein involved in the co-translational targeting of proteins to membranes. Archaeal SRP consists of a 7S RNA and homologues of the eukaryotic SRP19 and SRP54 proteins. In most bacteria, the SRP consists of a 4.5S RNA and the Ffh protein (a homologue of the eukaryotic SRP54 protein).
Source: RNAcentral
UUCAGGCCCCGGUGGUCGCGGGCCCGCCAACUCCGCCAGGGCCGAAAGGCAGCAACGGUACGUGGUGUCUCACGUUGCAUCGUCAGGCCUGAAGCA